This 292-nucleotide ribosomal RNA is filed under the name uncultured bacterium. Its description in RNAcentral is "partial 16S ribosomal RNA". The record is from RNAcentral.
GGACUACAGGGGUAUCUAAUCCUGUUUGCUCCCCACGCUUUCGCACCUCAGCGUCAGUAUUGGCCCAGGUCUCCGCCUUCGCCACUGGUGUUCCUCCCGAUAUCUACGAAUUUCACCUCUACACCGGGAAUUCCGAGACCCUCUUCCAUACUCAAGCCUUCUAGUUUCGAAUGCACUUCCUCGGUUGAGCCGAGGGCUUUCACAUCCGACUUACAAGACCGCCUACGUGCGCUUUACGCCCAAUGAUUCCGAGCAACGUUUGCACCCUCCGUAUUACCGCGGCUGCUGGCAC